CUGCAGCCCGAGUGGUGAUCGAUUUUAUUGAGCCUAAAGCGUCCGUAGCCGGACUAGUAAACCCUUGGGUAAAUUGGGCAGCUUAACUGUCCAAAUUCCGAGGGGACUGCUAGUCUUGGGACCGGGAGAGGUCAGAGGUACUCAAGGGGUAGGGGCUAAAUCCUGUAAUCCUUUGGGGACCACCAGUGGCGAAGGCGUCUGACUAGAACGGAUCCGACGGUAAGGGACGAAACCCUGGGGAGCGAACCGGAUUAGAGACCCGAGUAGUCC
RNAcentral lists this ribosomal RNA (270 nucleotides) under uncultured archaeon. RNAcentral describes it as "partial 16S ribosomal RNA". It matches the Rfam family "Archaeal small subunit ribosomal RNA", at positions 477 to 747 of the family's 1478-position model. The record is from RNAcentral.